GAAAGCACGACAAGGUUAAUCCGAGUGAUUUCUGCUAAAGGAAUCUUUUGUUAGUUCUAAAAAUACUAGUGAAUAAGGGGUGGGCAAGUUCUGGUGUCAGCCGCCGCGGUAAAACCAGCACCUCAAGUGGUCAGGAGGAUUAUUGGGCCUAAAGCAUCCGUAGCCCGUUCUAUAAGUUUGCGGUUAAAUCUAUACGCUCAACGUAUAGGCUGCUGUAAAUACUGUAGAACUAGGGAGUGGGAGAGGUAGACGGUACUCGAUAGGAAGGGGUAAAAUCCUUUGAUCUAUUGAUGACCACCUGUGGCGAAGGCGGUCUACCAGAACACGUUCGACGGUGAGGGAUGAAAGCUGGGGGAGCAAACCGGAUUAGAUACCCGGGUAGUCCCAGCUGUAAACGAUGCAGACUCGAUGAUGCAAUGGCAUAGAGCUAUUGCAGUAUCGCAGGGAAGCCGUUAAGUCUGCCGCCUGGGAAGUACGUACGCAAGUAUGAAACUUAAAGGAAUUGGCGGGGGAGCACCACAAGGGGUGAAGCCUGCGGUUCAAUUGGAGUCAACGCCAGAAAUCUUACCCGGAGAGACAGCAGAAUGAAGGUCAGGCUGAAGACCUUAC
Molecule: ribosomal RNA, 609 nt
Filed under: crenarchaeote SCGC AAA003-D11
Lineage: Archaea; Thermoproteati; Thermoproteota
Description: SSU rRNA
Rfam family: Archaeal small subunit ribosomal RNA
Source: RNAcentral